Molecule: ribosomal RNA, 99 nt
Filed under: uncultured bacterium
Lineage: Bacteria
Description: partial 16S ribosomal RNA
Rfam family: Bacterial small subunit ribosomal RNA
Source: RNAcentral
CAACGCCGCGUGAGGGACGAAGGCCUUCGGGUUGUAAACCUCUUUCAGCAGGGACGAUUGUGACGGUACCUGCAGAAGAAGCCCCGGCCAACUACGUGC